This is a non-coding RNA of Paramuricea clavata, 577 nucleotides long. Lineage: Eukaryota; Metazoa; Cnidaria; Anthozoa; Malacalcyonacea; Plexauridae. The record is from the annotation of a GenBank genome assembly.
GCUAAACUAACUUUAUUUAUACUGGAUAGCUCUAUCAGUUCUAAACUGUUCUUCCUAGAGGUCCAGUAAGGGUCUUAUUAUUAAGUCCGUUUCCUUUUCAACGAAAACGAAUAUGAAACUAUACCCAAUAUUCCAGACCACGCGGCCUAUAUAGCUCUGCGCGCAAAUAUAGUUUAUUAAAAUAUCCCCCACACAAAGUCCAACACAUCAUAACAGCGAUUUAAUAUUCAAAGAUGCAUUAAAAAUGACGAAUCUGAGAGCAUAAUUCAUUUUUAAAAAAUCCACGCAUUAAAGUUGAGUGCGUACACCUGUGAUUAAAGUCGAUUCGGUGCUAAUGGUGUGCCAAUAAAUGUCAAAUUUCGAUAGCUCUAAGAUUGUGUGUUUGUCGGCGCGCGGCUAGCCAGAUGCUGUUCGGCGUAAAAAAGGUUAUCGGCGCCCGACUAUUGCUGUUUUGUUUCCCGACUGAAUAUGGCAGCUGCUUUUUUGCUUGGCCGACUUUUUUCCGCUUUCAUUUCGGAGGCUUGUCUUGUCGUGUAUUCACACUCCUUGUGGGUAUAUACGCUCAGGAAAAUUUAAA